GUGGAGGCUGAAGCGCCGCCAGCUGGGCUGAGAGUCGUGGUGUGCGUGGUGAGAGGUGGCGGCCGCUGGGGUGAGGUGCGAGGCGGAGCGCGCGACGACUGACUCUGGAGGAGCGAAUGUAAGUCGACAUACAGCAGAAAAUGUCCACUGAACGGACUUCUUGGACAAGCCUGUCCACUAUUCAGAAAAUAGCCCUGGGCCUCGGGAUCCCAGCCAGUGCAACAGUUGCCUAUAUCCUAUACCGAAGGUAUAGGGAAAGCAGAGAAGAGCGGCUGACGUUUGUUGGGGAGGAUGACAUCGAGAUAGAGAUGCGAGUUCCCCAGGAGGCUGUGAAGCUCAUCAUUGGCCGGCAAGGAGCCAAUAUUAAACAGCUGCGGAAACAGACAGGUGCUCGGAUUGAUGUGGACACAGAGGAUGUAGGCGAUGAGCGAGUACUGCUUAUCAGUGGUUUUCCUGUUCAGGUGUGCAAGGCCAAAGCAGCAAUUCAUCAGAUCCUGACAGAGAACACCCCAGUGUCUGAGCAACUCUCAGUUCCCCAGAGAUCUGUGGGCAGAAUCAUAGGGAGAGGCGGUGAGACAAUUCGUUCUAUCUGUAAGGCCUCUGGAGCCAAAAUUACCUGUGACAAGGAAUCAGAGGGGACGUUACUACUAUCAAGACUUAUAAAAAUCUCAGGAACACAGAAGGAAGUGGCAGCAGCCAAGCAUUUGAUACUGGAAAAAGUUUCAGAAGAUGAAGAACUUCGGAAGAGAAUUGCACAUUCUGCAGAAACCAGAGUCCCACGCAAGCAGCCAAUCAGUGUGAGAAGAGAGGAAGUGACAGAGCCAGAUGGAGCUGGAGACCCAGCUUUAUGGAAAAACACCAGUUCUAGUGCAGAGCAGGCCACACCCCAGGCAGUUACUCCCCACAAAGGAGGUGGUGACAUGGCUGUUGUAGAGCCAAAAGAAGGUUCCUGGGAGAAACCUAAUGAUGACAGCAUUCAAAAGUCUGGAGCCCAGGCCAUUCCAGAGAUGUCUAUGUUUGAAAUUCCUAGUCCUGACUUUAGUUUCCAUGCUGAUGAGUACCUAGAAGUCUAUGUCUCUGCUUCUGAACACCCUAACCACUUCUGGAUCCAGAUCAUUGGUUCCCGCAGCCUGCAAUUGGAUAAGCUUGUCAAUGAAAUGACCCAACACUAUGAAAAUAGUCUGCCUGAAGACUUGACUGUGCAUAUAGGAGAUAUCGUAGCAGCACCUUUACUUACAAAUGGUUCCUGGUAUCGAGCCCAGGUCCUGGGCACCUUGGAAAAUGGGAACUUUGACCUCUAUUUUGUUGACUUUGGAGAUAAUGGAGAUUGCCCACUGAAGGACCUUAGGGCUCUCAGGAGUGACUUCCUAAGCCUUCCAUUUCAAGCAAUAGAGUGUAGUCUGGCCCGGAUCGCCCCCUCAGGUGAACAGUGGGAAGAGGAAGCUUUGGAUGAAUUUGAAAGACUCACUCACUGUGCUGACUGGAAGCCCCUUGUGGCCAAGAUCUCUAGCUAUGUCCAGACUGGGAUCUCAACUUGGCCAAAGAUCUACUUAUAUGAUACUAGCAAUGGGAAGAAACUUGAUAUUGGGCUAGAAUUAGUUCGUAAAGGAUACGCAAUUGAGCUUCCUGAAGACGUGGAAGAAAACGGAGCUGUCCCAGACAUGUUGAAGGAUGUGGCCACAGAAACAGAUGCUUCUCUCAGCACCAUGCUCACUGAGACCAAAAAGAGCCCUGGAGAGAUACCACAUACCCUGUCCUGCCUCAGCUUAUCAGAAGCUGCCUCUAUGUCUGGUGAUGAUAACCUUGAAGACGACUACUUGCUCUGAAGUUGGGACUUCAGCUGGCUCAGCCAUCUGCUUUGCUGUGUGAGUGGAGCCAUCAUCUAUCUGUAGCAACAGGAUUUGGUGGCUGGAGAGAGAAGUCUGUGAUAAAGAGACAUCCAUGAAGUCCUUUAUUACGUUACACAGUCUGGCUUACUGUGGACCAAAUUCGUUUUCUCCUUCCAUUGGACUACCAAAAAGUGUGGGGCAGAGGAAAACGGACACAUUCCCCCUACUCCAACUCCAAUUUCUCCCCCCUGCCUCCAGCAUUUGAGUACUGCUGUUCCAGACUGUUCAGCUCCGGGCUUGGUCGCCUCUGCCAAUCAGAAUGCACAGUGCUGCUAGGCUGUGUUUUUUGAGGCUGGGAAACAGCCAGAGUUUAGUCAUUGGAAGUGAUGAUUCUGUAAACUUCUGACUCCCCUUCUCAGGUGACUAUGGUUAGAGGAAGUUUUUGAGUGGUAAGCUCAAAGCCUGGGGGCUCAGACUGCAGUUGAGUCAGGAGGCAAAGGCAAAAAUCAGCAUAAUUAUAUUAAAAAGCCUUGAAGUAAGAAGAGAAUACUACCUCCUACCCUCAAUUGUUGGUGUUAUUGGAGACAGGUUUUUGAAACUGCUCCAGCUAUUUCUCUGUAAACUUUAGUUUAAAAGGGGAGAGGAAGCUCAGGAAAUAUUCUAAAUUGCUUAACAUAAUAUUCAUAUGUAUAGAUACACAUGUACCCAAAGAGAACAUAUAUAGUUCUGUUUAAAUCAUUUUGGGGGGAUUCUUUGCUGAAUAAAGUUCUCAAGAAAAUCUAAAACCAAAUGCUUAUUGAAUCACAAGGUGUAAACAGGCUGUGGGAAAGUAUUUUCUGAGCAUAAAUCUAGUAACCUCCAACCUGCCAACCUCCUCAGGUAAAGUAGCCUAUCAGUGAAACAAGUGUUCACUCACGUACACAUUCAUAUCCUUUCCCUAAAGUUACUUCAGAUAUAACCAUUCACUAAGAACCAGCACCCAUUGCUGUGUGAAUAAGACCCCACCUAAACUAUUUGGAAGAAAAGGCCUGGUAUUAGAAUUCUAGAAACCUGAAAUCCAGGUAUAGAUCCCUACUGCCAACUUAUUUUAAGACUUUAGGUAGCCUGUUUCUUUAUAGCAUCUUUCCAUUUUUGACAGUAUU
Non-coding RNA from Microcebus murinus (gray mouse lemur), 2971 nucleotides. The record is from RefSeq and is a predicted model, not a curated record. Lineage: Eukaryota; Metazoa; Chordata; Mammalia; Primates; Cheirogaleidae.